This 491-nucleotide ribosomal RNA is filed under the name uncultured bacterium. RNAcentral describes it as "partial 16S ribosomal RNA". It matches the Rfam family "Bacterial small subunit ribosomal RNA", at positions 29 to 506 of the family's 1533-position model. The record is from RNAcentral.
AGUGAACGCUGGCGGUAGGCCUAACACAUGCAAGUCGAACGGCAGCACAGUAAGAGCUUGCUCUUACGGGUGGCGAGUGGCGGACGGGUGAGGAAUACAUCGGAAUCUACUUUUUCGUGGGGGAUAACGUAGGGAAACUUACGCUAAUACCGCAUACGACAUACGGGUGAAAGCAGGGGAUCUUCGGACCUUGCGCGAUUGAAUGAGCCGAUGUCGGAUUAGCUAGUUGGCGGGGUAAAGGCCCACCAAGGCGACGAUCCGUAGCUGGUCUGAGAGGAUGAUCAGCCACACUGGAGCUGAGACACGGUCCAGACUCCUACGGGAGGCAGCAGUGGGGAAUAUUGGACAAUGGGCGCAAGCCUGACCCAGCCAUACCGCGUGGGUGAAGAAGGCCUUCGGGUUGUAAAGCCCUUUUGUUGGGAAAGAAAAGCAGCAGGUUAAUACCCCGCUGUUCGGACGGUACCCAAAGAAUAAGCACCGGCUAACUUCGU